AAGUCGUAACAAGGUUUCCGUAGGUGAACCUGCGGAAGGAUCAUUACUGAGGUUACCGGGGGCGAGUUUGUGGGGGUUUAAGUGCUGGUACUCUCGGGUGCAUGUGCACGGCUCUCCUUCUCGUCUUCGUUCCUUCUAUCAACCCCUGUGCACUAUAUUAGGAUUAGAGAGAAGCGCGGCAGUUAAGGAUUAGCCUAGUAGUUGUGGGUCCGUCCCGCGGCGAAAGGUUAAUCUUGACGCGUGGUACCUCGAAGUCCUUAAUUAUUACAAACCACUAUUUAUGUCUUGUCAGAAUGUUCAGUCCCUCGUUGGACGCUAAAUAAAAUACAACUUUCAACAACGGAUCUCUUGGCUCUC
This 357-nucleotide unclassified non-coding RNA is filed under the name air metagenome. RNAcentral's name for it is "partial contains small subunit ribosomal RNA, internal transcribed spacer 1, and 5.8S ribosomal RNA". The stretch from base 1 to 46 matches the Rfam family "Eukaryotic small subunit ribosomal RNA", at positions 1786 to 1831 of the family's 1831-position model. The record is from RNAcentral.